AUUUCCAUAUCUAGGAGUAUAUUUAUACGAACGACAGUUUGUCAAGAAAUAAAAAAAUCAAAGGUCGAUGGUUCCCGUCUCAAAUUUUUUCCAUUCUCUCCAACAUCACUAGAUGCAUAAUUUAAUUCAGAAAGAGAAUCAUAUUUAAACAACGUAACACCAAGUUCAUCUCUGGUUUCAACAGAAGUUCAUCUUCUCUCUCUCCCCCCUCUCUCUCUCUCUCUCUCUCUCUA
RNAcentral lists this long non-coding RNA (233 nucleotides) under Salvia miltiorrhiza (redroot sage). RNAcentral's name for it is "long non-coding RNA (SMIL_LNC000011)". Lineage: Eukaryota; Viridiplantae; Streptophyta; Magnoliopsida; Lamiales; Lamiaceae. The record is from RNAcentral.